RNAcentral lists this ribosomal RNA (927 nucleotides) under Staphylococcus aureus. Its description in RNAcentral is "partial 23S ribosomal RNA". It matches the Rfam family "Bacterial large subunit ribosomal RNA", at positions 1603 to 2531 of the family's 2925-position model. The record is from RNAcentral. Lineage: Bacteria; Bacillati; Bacillota; Bacilli; Caryophanales; Staphylococcaceae.
CACUGCCGAGAAAAGCCUCUAGAUAGAAAAUAGGUGCCCGUACCGCAAACCGACACAGGUAGUCAAGAUGAGAAUUCUAAGGUGAGCGAGCGAACUCUCGUUAAGGAACUCGGCAAAAUGACCCCGUAACUUCGGGAGAAGGGGUGCUCUUUAGGGUUAACGCCCAGAAGAGCCGCAGUGAAUAGGCCCAAGCGACUGUUUAUCAAAAACACAGGUCUCUGCUAAACCGUAAGGUGAUGUAUAGGGGCUGACGCCUGCCCGGUGCUGGAAGGUUAAGAGGAGUGGUUAGCUUCUGCGAAGCUACGAAUCGAAGCCCCAGUAAACGGCGGCCGUAACUAUAACGGUCCUAAGGUAGCGAAAUUCCUUGUCGGGUAAGUUCCGACCCGCACGAAAGGCGUAACGAUUUGGGCACUGUCUCAACGAGAGACUCGGUGAAAUCAUAGUACCUGUGAAGAUGCAGGUUACCCGCGACAGGACGGAAAGACCCCGUGGAGCUUUACUGUAGCCUGAUAUUGAAAUUCGGCACAGCUUGUACAGGAUAGGUAGGAGCCUUUGAAACGUGAGCGCUAGCUUACGUGGAGGCGCUGGUGGGAUACUACCCUAGCUGUGUUGGCUUUCUAACCCGCACCACUUAUCGUGGUGGGAGACAGUGUCAGGCGGGCAGUUUGACUGGGGCGGUCGCCUCCUAAAAGGUAACGGAGGCGCUCAAAGGUUCCCUCAGAAUGGUUGGAAAUCAUUCAUAGAGUGUAAAGGCAUAAGGGAGCUUGACUGCGAGACCUACAAGUCGAGCAGGGUCGAAAGACGGACUUAGUGAUCCGGUGGUUCCGCAUGGAAGGGCCAUCGCUCAACGGAUAAAAGCUACCCCGGGGAUAACAGGCUUAUCUCCCCCAAGAGUUCACAUCGACGGGGAGGUUUGGCACCUCGAUG